ACCCGCACAAGCGGUGGAUGAUGUGGAUUAAUUCGAUGCAACGCGAAGAACCUUACCUACCCUUGACAUGUCCGGAACUUGCCAGAGAUGGCUUGGUGCCCGAAAGGGAAUCGGAACACAGGUGCUGCAUGGCUGUCGUCAGCUCGUGUCGUGAGAUGUUGGGUUAAGUCCCGCAACGAGCGCAACCCUUAUCAUUAGUUGCUACGCAAGGGCACUCUAAUGAGACUGCCGGUGACAAACCGGAGGAAGUGGGGAUGACGUCAAGUCCUCAUGGCCCUUAUGGGUAGGGCUUCACACGUCAUACAAUGGUCGGUACAGAGGGUUGCCAAGCCGCGAGGCGGAGCCAAUCCCACAAAGCCGAUCGUAGUCCGGAUUGUUCUCUGCAACUCGAGAGCAUGAAGUCGGAAUCGCUAGUAAUCGCAGGUCAGCAUACUGCGGUGAAUACGUUCCCGGGUCUU
This 458-nucleotide ribosomal RNA is filed under the name uncultured Thiobacillus sp. Its description in RNAcentral is "bacterial SSU rRNA". It matches the Rfam family "Bacterial small subunit ribosomal RNA", at positions 919 to 1382 of the family's 1533-position model. Lineage: Bacteria; Pseudomonadati; Pseudomonadota; Betaproteobacteria; Nitrosomonadales; Thiobacillaceae. The record is from RNAcentral.